UUACCAUUUUCAACUCUUCCGUACGGCCAGUGCCACCGCGCAAACUGUCAGAUAAGCAUUAAUUCAUUAUCAGAGAUACAUAGGGCAUAUACAGUAUCGUAAUCCGAUACGCUUGAGUAUUUACACCUGACGAUUUUUUUACAUCUUUGAGACCCUGGAGACGCUGUCCCCACCGCUGAAAGUGCAUACAUCAUAGAACCUUUUUUUCUUUCUACCAUCUAAUCUUCAAAAUCCACUAGGUCUCCACGACGCUCGGGUAAAUCCCGAUUUAGCAUCGUCGGCUCUCCAACUAUUGAACCACCUUGGACCUCUCAUAUUGAAUAGGCCACUCCAAGCCGCUGUUAAAUAGACGUCAAAAUAAAAUUGUGAAGGACAAACAAAGGUGUUGUGUCUCACAUUUUAGCAGGAAGUCAAUAAUUAUGCCAUUCUUUUGUUGUGCUGUUAGAUGUGGAUGCCGAGGAAACAGAGACUGUUAUUUUUUUCGUAUUUCUGGAGGUAUUCCUGUAUUUUAGCCUAAGAAGCUUCACACAGAGACAACUCUGGCUUCAGAUAAAUAACUUGAGAAGGAGACAACAAAAUGUUUGGAUGCUAUUAUGACCUAGACCUGACUACUCGUUAUAUUUUUAUACUCAUUAUAUUUAUGCUGUUUAUUUUCUUAUGAGUUGUAUUUUGCACCGAUUAUAUUUUUAAACUGU
This is a long non-coding RNA of Coccinella septempunctata (seven-spotted ladybird), 695 nucleotides long. RefSeq lists it as uncharacterized. The transcript has 2 exons. The record is from RefSeq and is a predicted model, not a curated record. NCBI's taxonomy places the organism in Eukaryota, Metazoa, Arthropoda, Insecta, Coleoptera, Coccinellidae.